Non-coding RNA from Thamnophis sirtalis, 469 nucleotides. Lineage: Eukaryota; Metazoa; Chordata; Lepidosauria; Squamata; Natricidae. The record is from RefSeq and is a predicted model, not a curated record.
AGAUUUAGAAACUACACAGUCUAGGAUGGGGUGACUAGACUGUGAUAGGGUAUAUCAUAGCAGGAGCACAUUGCACCUAUUUUUUGGCUAAGCCACAUUGGCUCUCACAUUUUACAGUUGCAAGAUUCAGAAGCACAGACUAUCCAUUGUGAAAGAUCUACUCAUGAAUUAAAACAUGCUUUGGAUAUUAAGGAACGUGAAGCAAGUGCGGCAUCUCAGAAACUACAGGAUCUUCUGGUAGCAUCAUCAGAAACAAAUAAUACUAUAAAACAAUUAGAAGAGCAUAUACAGAGACUUGAAAUAGAAAAUGCCAGAUAUGAAGCUACAACGAACCAGCAAUGUAAUAGAAUGGAGAUACUUCAAAAAGACCUACAGAAUAGUGUUUCUGUUCAUAAUCGUCUUGAAGAAUUGAUAACCAGUUUACAGACAGCAAAAAUCAAUUUAGAGGAACAACUAAACCACCAGGUAU